RNAcentral lists this ribosomal RNA (392 nucleotides) under uncultured bacterium. Its description in RNAcentral is "bacterial SSU rRNA". It matches the Rfam family "Bacterial small subunit ribosomal RNA", at positions 28 to 408 of the family's 1533-position model. The record is from RNAcentral.
GACGAACGCUGGCGGCGUGCUUAACACAUGCAAGUCGAGCGGUAAGGCCCUUCGGGGUACGACGAGCGGCGAACGGGUGAGUAACACGUGGGUGACCUGCCCUCCACUCUGGGAUAAGCCCGGGAAACUGGGUCUAAUACCGGAUAUGACCUCUGGAUGCAUGUCUGGUGGUGGAAAGUCUGUGUCUUUGGAUGCUGGCGGUGGGGGAUGGGCCCGCGGUCUAUCAGCUUGUUGGGGGGUGGAUGGCCUACCAAGGCGACGACGGAUAGCCAGCCUGAGAGGGUGAUCGGCCACACUGGGACUGAGACACGGGCCCAGACUCCUACGGGAGGCAGCAGUGGGGAAUCUUGCGCAAUGGGCGGAAGCCUGACGCAGCAACGCCGCGUGGGGGA